GCUCAGCUCGUAGCCAAAGAGAGGGCUGGCGUCCGGCGGGGCGGCGGCGGCCACCAGGCAGUUCCAUCUCUCGUAUCUGAACUGGCUCCUGCACUCCUGAAUGCCCAGCCGGGCGCCCUCGCAGAUGCUCGGCAGCAGACAACGUAAAAAGAAGGCCAGCCGUGGUAGGGGCUCUCAGCAGCCUGCCUUCUCCUCGCGAGCUGGGAGCAGCGUGAGGAAGUUGGGAAAGUAGCCUGGGGCACUCCUCCCGAGACGAGUCGAAGAUGUGCAGGAGAUGCGGGAGCGCCCCUCGCAUUCCAAGGAAUGAGACCCUCCAAAGUGACUUGUGUAUUAAGAAGAGGUCUGAAGAGAUGUCCAGGGUCUGUCAAAGGCAGCUGGAGGUGCUCAUCAUUUUUAUCCAUCCCAGAACCCAGUGCGGGAAGGGGCUCUCUCCUCUGCUGUAGCCCCCGUUUCCAACCAGUUCUGAUGGUGAUGGGCCUAAAGCAUUAACAUAAGCCACACUGGCUUCAGUGUUGGCAUUUUGUACCAUAAUCUCAUCUCCAUGUUUUUACUGCAAAGGGACAUCAAGAGUCCUGAAUCCCAAACCUUCAGCUAUUAAUGUAAGAAGAUCUACAGAAGACCAAACAACCUCAUAUCAAAGUGGAGAUCAGUGGAUAUAUGAUUGAACAUAUGUUACAACAUAUGCCCAUUUUAUUUUAACGUUCUUAAAAUUGUUUUCUAAUAUUCAAAUUCAUAAUUUAAUUUUAAAAGCAGACAAAUUAUAGACCAAAUAAAAAAGUAAAUUAUGGACUGUAAAGAAAAUCAAAAU
Molecule: long non-coding RNA, 808 nt
Organism: Balaenoptera acutorostrata (minke whale)
Lineage: Eukaryota; Metazoa; Chordata; Mammalia; Artiodactyla; Balaenopteridae
Exons: 3
Source: RefSeq, a predicted model, not a curated record